Molecule: ribosomal RNA, 461 nt
Filed under: uncultured bacterium
Lineage: Bacteria
Description: bacterial SSU rRNA
Rfam family: Bacterial small subunit ribosomal RNA
Source: RNAcentral
AUGAAACACUCCUACGGGAGGCAGCAGUGGGGAAUAUUGGACAAUGGGGGCAACCCUGAUCCAGCAAUUCUGUGUGCACGAGGAAGGUUUUCGGAUCGUAAAGUGCUUUCAGCAGGGGAGAAGCAAGUGACGGUACCUGCAGAAGAAGCGACGGCUAAAUACGUGCCGGCAGCCGCGGUAGUACGUAUGUCGCGAGCGUUAUCCGGAAUUAUUGGGAAUAAAGGGCAUCUAGGCGGCCAGGCAAGUCUGGGGUGAAAACUUGCGGCUCAACCGCAAGCCUGCCCUGGAAACUGCCUGGCUAGAGUGAUGGGGAGGUGGACGGAACUGCACGAGUAGAGGUGAAAUUCGUAGAUAUGUGCAGGAAUGACGAUGAUGAAGAUAGUUCACUGGACGGCAACUGACGCUGAAGAGCGAAAGCUGGGGGAGCGAACAGGAUUAGAAACCCUGGUAGUCCGAAGUUC